RNAcentral lists this ribosomal RNA (305 nucleotides) under uncultured bacterium. RNAcentral's name for it is "bacterial SSU rRNA". It matches the Rfam family "Bacterial small subunit ribosomal RNA", at positions 336 to 658 of the family's 1533-position model. The record is from RNAcentral.
CGCCUACGGGGCGCAUCAGUGGUUAAUCUUGCACACUUUUUUUCACCCUGAUGCAGCGACGCCGCGUGGGUGAAGGAGUACUUCGGUACGUAAAGCCCUAUCAGCAGGAAAGAAAAUGACGGUACCUGACUAAGAAGCCCCGGCUAACUACGUGCCAGCAGCCGCGGUAAUACGUAGGGGGCAAGCGUUAUCCGGAUUUACUGGGUGUAAAGGGAGCGUAGACGGCAGUGCAAGUCCGGAGUGAAAGCCCGGGGCUCAACCCUGGGACUGCUCUGGAAACUGUAAAGCUGGAGUGCGGGAGGGGG